GUGUUCUAUAAAUUCAUCCUACCCGUGAAUCCGUCCUACUUACGCUCACCGCGCAUGUGCUUCUGAAUAUUUUUCCACUUUUGCGGAACGCCCAUAAAUCCGUGCUGCUCUUGUGGUUAACGUUACCUGCGAAAUGGAGAAUAAAUGGACAGAGAUUUAUGAUUUUCUUUCUGUGGGAUCAUACCCAUCUGGAUUCGAGAAAGCACAAAAGCAAAAUUUAAGAAGAUAUGCCUCAAAAUUUACUCUAAAGGAUGGAGAACUCAUUCCUCAGGGGUCAGGGGAACCAGGGGCCCAUCCCAGGGAAAACAGGGCUGGGUACAAUGGUACAAUCCAUCACAGGGCACAAUUACACUCACAUUCACACACUAUUAUCAGUUUGGCCACCAGUCAGGCUACAAUGCAUGUGACUAUAGGAGAAAACCAUAGCACUUUGAGUAAACCCACCAAACACAGGGACAACAUGCA
Brienomyrus brachyistius is the source of this 465-nucleotide long non-coding RNA. RefSeq lists it as uncharacterized. The record is from RefSeq and is a predicted model, not a curated record. The transcript has 3 exons. Lineage: Eukaryota; Metazoa; Chordata; Actinopteri; Osteoglossiformes; Mormyridae.